Non-coding RNA from Trametes gibbosa, 91 nucleotides. Lineage: Eukaryota; Fungi; Basidiomycota; Agaricomycetes; Polyporales; Polyporaceae. The record is from the annotation of a GenBank genome assembly.
CCUUCGGUAGCUCAGUUGGAAGAGCGUGAGACUGUAAUGGAUUCCGAACCGAGUUAUCUCAAGGCCACCAGUUCAAUCCUGGUUCGAAGGA